UGGGGAGCAAACAGGAUUAGAUACCCUGGUAGUCCACGCUGUAAACGAUGUCGACUUGGAGGUUGUGCCCUUGAGGUGUGGCUUCCGGAGCUAACGCGUUAAGUCGACCGCCUGGGGAGUACGACCGCAAGGUUAAAACUCAAAUGAAUUGACGGGGGCCCGCACAAGCGGUGGAGCAUGUGGUUUAAUUCGAUGCAACGCGAAGAACCUUACCUGGUCUUGACAUCCACGGAAGUUUUCAGAGAUGAGAAUGUGCCUUCGGGAACCGUGAGACAGGUGCUGCAUGGCUGUCGUCAGCUCGUGUUGUGAAAUGUUGGGUUAAGUCCCGCAACGAGCGCAACCCUUAUCCUUUGUUGCCAGCGGUCCGGCCGGGAACUCAAAGGAGACUGCCAGUGAUAAACUGGAGGAAGGUGGGGAUGACGUCAAGUCAUCAUGGCCCUUACGACCAGGGCUACACACGUGCUACAAUGGCGCAUACAAAGAGAAGCGACCUCGCGAGAGCAAGCGGACCUCAUAAAGUGCGUCGUAGUCCGGAUUGGAGUCUGCAACUCGACUCCAUGAAGUCGGAAUCGCUAGUAAUCGUGGAUCAGAAUGCCACGGUGAAUACGUUCCCGGGCCUUGUACACACCGCCCGUCACACCAUGGGAGUGGGUUGCAAAAGAAGUAGGUAGCUUAACCUUCGGGAGGGCGCUUACCACUUUGUGAUUCAUGACUGGGGUGAAGUCGUAACAAGGUAACCGUAGGGGAACCUGCGGUUGGAUCACCUCCUUA
RNAcentral lists this ribosomal RNA (771 nucleotides) under Shigella flexneri. RNAcentral describes it as "bacterial SSU rRNA". It matches the Rfam family "Bacterial small subunit ribosomal RNA", at positions 762 to 1533 of the family's 1533-position model. The record is from RNAcentral. Lineage: Bacteria; Pseudomonadati; Pseudomonadota; Gammaproteobacteria; Enterobacterales; Enterobacteriaceae.